CCUACGGUGUGCAGCAGUGGGGAAUAUUGCACAAUGGGGGAAACCCUGAUGCAGCGACGCCGCGUGAGUGAAGAAGUAUUUCGGUAUGUAAAGCUCUAUCAGCAGGGAAGAAAAUGACGGUACCUGAUUAAGAAGCCCCGGCUAACUACGUGCCAUCAGCCGCGGUAAUACGUAGGGGGCAAGCGUUAUACGGAUUUACUGGGUGUAAAGGGCGCGUAGCCGGAAGGACAAGUCUGGAGUGAAAUGCCGGGGCUUAACCCCGGAACUGCAUUGGAAACUGUGCAGCUAGAGUGCAGGAGAGGUAAGUGGAAUUCCUAGUGUAGCGGUGAAAUGCGUAGAUAUUAGGAGGAACACCAGUGGCGAAGGCGGCUGACUGGAGUGUAACUGACGUUGAGGCUCGAAAGCGUGGGGAGCAAACAGGAUUAGAUACCCGUGUAGUC
This 440-nucleotide ribosomal RNA is filed under the name uncultured bacterium. RNAcentral describes it as "partial 16S ribosomal RNA". It matches the Rfam family "Bacterial small subunit ribosomal RNA", at positions 338 to 795 of the family's 1533-position model. The record is from RNAcentral.